Molecule: long non-coding RNA, 565 nt
Organism: Oncorhynchus tshawytscha (Chinook salmon)
Lineage: Eukaryota; Metazoa; Chordata; Actinopteri; Salmoniformes; Salmonidae
Exons: 2
Source: RefSeq, a predicted model, not a curated record
CCCAACUGCUGAGAGUGCUGUUCCUUGAAGCCGCAGUGUAUUUUGAAACGAGCUUCAGAGAUCCAGCGGCUCCAAAAGCAGGCACAAGGCUGCCAGUGUUCCAGUGUUCAGCCUGGGGCUUGGCACUCACCCUGACCAGAGGGGUCCAGCCAAUGGCGGCACUCGCUGUUUGCGUGUGCGGGAAAGAAAGAAUGAGAGUUUGUGAAGAGAGGAUACUCUGCUGUGGCGUUGCCAAGUUGAGCAUCUACAUUUGGGUUUGGCUGUUCCCUCCUCCCGUCUGCUCGGUCGCCCCAGAAACCACAGGAAAGGGAAGCCGGAACCCUCCGAAAGCUCCGAAAAUAUUGUCCUGGGUAAAAAUGGCCACUUGAAUGGCAACAUUCAGCCCCCAUCCACUACAAACAAAAGGACUUUGACAGAGGGAGAAAGAUGUGCAGUUUCAUUUUUGUUUCUGCUUUUCUAGCUACAGUUACACUUCCAUUUUCUCUUUCAUUUGACAGUUUAAUGUGAAUACAGUAUAUGAAUCAUAUACUGUAUCUACUGCAAAUACACUUUUUUUUAAUACGUU